GUCUGACCUCGGAUCAGGUGGGAUUACCCGCUGAACUUAAGCAUAUCAAUAAGCGGAGGAAAAGAAACUAACAAGGAUUCCCCUAGUAACGGCGAGUGAAGCGGGAUGAGCUCAAAUUUAAAAUCUGGUAGUCUUUGGCUGCCCGAGUUGUAAUCUAGAGAAGUGUUU
Molecule: ribosomal RNA, 168 nt
Filed under: Sistotrema sp. FR1
Lineage: Eukaryota; Fungi; Basidiomycota; Agaricomycetes; Cantharellales; Hydnaceae
Description: partial 28S ribosomal RNA
Rfam family: Eukaryotic large subunit ribosomal RNA
Source: RNAcentral